AUACGGAGGAUCCGAGCGUUAUCCGGAUUUAUUGGGUUUAAAGGGUGCGCAGGCGGCCAUUUAAGUCAGCGGUUAAAUCGUGGGGCUCAACCCCAUUCUGCCGUUGAUACUGGGUGGCUUGAUUGCGGUCGAGGUUGGCGGAAUUCGUUGUGUAGCGGUGGAAUGCAUAGAUAUGACGAAGAACACCGAUUGCGUAGGCAGCUGACCGGACCGCAAAUGACGCUCAUGCACGAAAGUGCGGGGAUCGAACAGGAUUAGAUACCCUGGUAGUCCGCACAGUAAACGAUGAAUACUUGUUUUCGGCGAUAUAAUGUCGGAGGCAAAGCGAAAGCGAUAAGUAUUCCACCUGGGGAGUACGCCGGCAACGGUGAAACUCAAAGGAAUUGGCGGGG
This 392-nucleotide ribosomal RNA is filed under the name uncultured bacterium. RNAcentral describes it as "partial 16S ribosomal RNA". It matches the Rfam family "Bacterial small subunit ribosomal RNA", at positions 523 to 918 of the family's 1533-position model. The record is from RNAcentral.